CAGCAGCCACGGGAAUACAGAGGGUGCAAGCGUUAAUCGGAAUUACUGGGCGUAAAGCGCGCGUAGGUGGUUUGGUAAGAUGGAUGUGAAAUCCCCGGGCUCAACCUGGGAACUGCAUCCAUAACUGCCUGACUAGAGUACGGUAGAGGGUGGUGGAAUUUCCUGUGUAGCGGUGAAAUGCGUAGAUAUAGGAAGGAACACCAGUGGCGAAGGCGACCACCUGGACUGAUACUGACACUGAGGUGCGAAAGCGUGGGGAGCAAACAGGAUUAGAUACCCGUGUAGUCCCUGUCUCUUAUAC
Molecule: ribosomal RNA, 301 nt
Filed under: uncultured bacterium
Lineage: Bacteria
Description: partial 16S ribosomal RNA
Rfam family: Bacterial small subunit ribosomal RNA
Source: RNAcentral